This 357-nucleotide unclassified non-coding RNA is filed under the name Basidiomycota sp. RNAcentral's name for it is "partial contains small subunit ribosomal RNA, internal transcribed spacer 1, and 5.8S ribosomal RNA". The stretch from base 1 to 47 matches the Rfam family "Eukaryotic small subunit ribosomal RNA", at positions 1785 to 1831 of the family's 1831-position model. The record is from RNAcentral. Lineage: Eukaryota; Fungi; Basidiomycota.
AAAGUCGUAACAAGGUAACCGUAGGUGAACCUGCGGUUGGAUCAUUAUAAAAAGAAAUGCAGCCCAUUUGGGUUUGCAUAUCGUGUGGAACUGAAAACCUUGUGUGCACUGUUGACUCUGUCUUUGGUGGUGGGGAGGAGUGUGUGAUGCUUUGGCUACGUAAAGUCUGCUGGGGCUGCACACUCUCCUUCCUGGCUGGCAACCGACUGUGUUUGUCGGCCACGCCACCAGCAUUUGAGAACAUGUGAAUGUUGAUUUGUUAUUGUCAGUGAUUUUGUCUGACUCCAUUUUCUUGGAGAAAGCAAAAAAAUUAAUUAAAACAUUACACAACUUUUGGCAACGGAUCUCUUGGCUCUC